This is a long non-coding RNA of Meriones unguiculatus (Mongolian gerbil), 4639 nucleotides long. RefSeq lists it as uncharacterized. NCBI's taxonomy places the organism in Eukaryota, Metazoa, Chordata, Mammalia, Rodentia, Muridae. The transcript has 2 exons. The record is from RefSeq and is a predicted model, not a curated record.
GAAGGAGUCCAUUUAUGUUAAGCUCCUGAGACUUGUGUCAGGUGAUGGGGACACCACUGUGAUUAAGAUGGGCAGGGUCCUGACUUGAGGUUGAGAGCAGAGACUAGUAUACUACAGCAGGUGGGCUGAGGUUGGUACCAGAUGCAGAGACGCACACUCUGGGGAGAGAGGGAGCCAUGCCAGUAGAGAAACAGCACUCCAGGCCCUGGGAGGGUCUAGUGUGAAGGCUUGGAAGAGGGUCCGUGUGUCCUGGAGAAGCAUUCUGGGGUCAAGACUAAAAGACAGUAUACCGCCAGGACCACAGAGCCUUCUACGAGCUCCGGUCUGCCCUCUGCUCUCAAGACUUUGUUCUGACUUGUGGGCAGAUGGCUGGGGAGUAGAGAGGUAGGUGGGCAUGGGGACUGUAUGACCAGACCUAGCCUGGGAGUCCCAAGGGGGAAAUCUAUCAAAAACUCAUCUUUCUCUCUUUCUGCCUACGGUGGUGGGCGGGGAGCUUCGGUGGCCUCCUUUCUGCUCCUGACUUUUUUUUUCUGAGAUACUGAGGGAACUCUCAAGAGCCAGACGACCAUCUCUGUGUGAGACCAAGUGGGGUCCAGUAUCCCCACCCCCCCCCGACUGCUGGAAUGUAGAGGGGAACAGACUGUACGGAUGAAGGCCUUGAAAUAGUACACGUAAGAAAACAAAGUGGUGAGGAUGUGUGGAGGAGGCAACCUAUAUCCUGGUGUUCACUACAGAAGCCACUGUGCAGACUUCCCAGCAAACAAAACAGAGGGCGCUGUUCAGUCUAGGUAGUCAGCACACACUUGGGUACCAUGGUUAUCCUGGCAACGUCUACAAUGGCCAAUAUGGAACCAGCCUAGGUGUCCAUCAGCAUGUGAAUGGAUAAAGAAAAUGUAGUGUAUAUAUAUAUAUACACUGGAGAUUUAGUCAGAAGGAAAUUUUGUCACUAGUAGAGAAAUGGAUGGGACUAGAGAGUACCAUGUUAAGCCGAAUAAGCCAGACUCAAAGAUCACAUGUUUUCUCUCAUAGGCAGAUUCUAAUUUCUUUUUUUUUUUUUUAAAGAUGUGCAAGUAGAGGGGCACUAUUUAGGAAAAGGAAGGGGAGCAGUGAAGGAGCAAGGGUUGCAGACAUGCUACUCAGGCUGUUCUCAGAGAAGAGCCUGCCUGGGGAGCAACUCCAGCGUGAGCCAUUCUCAAUUUGGGACCCCAGCCAAAGUGCCAAGGGCCGAGUCAAGGCUUUCCUACUGACCUUUGCCCCUGGCUGCCACCCCACCUGGCGGCUCAGGAGUUCUCGGGAUGGACUUCAGCACCUCAGUGAAUCGCAGAUCUCUUAUUUACCCGGUACUGAGCUAAAGGACAAUGCGAUCCAAGAGCACUCUGAUGGGCUGGGGCCAGGCUUCACGCUCUUGUCCAGGGCUCUGCUCACAAGGCCUGGCGAGGACACAGGAACCCAUUGUCCUGCCAGCUGAGUCUCCCUGGAAUGUGUCCUCCCAGCUGUGCGGACACUGUCGCUGCCAGGAGCAUGUGAUCCUCUGGCAGCACUGAGUCCUUGGGAGGGGUCUGCCUUGCCCCUCCUGGAAAUGAAGAGAGACAAGGGAGAGUCUGAGGCCAGGACCCUGCAUUGACACCAUCGGAAACUUGUACCUCAGCAUUGCCUGAACCAGCUGCGCAGGGUCCAGCCUGAUGCAGUGUUGGAGCAGGAGUGCUGUAGAUGGAAUUUAUCUCAUCCCAACAAACUGGAGACACCAGACAGACACAGGAGAGGAAUCCUGGCAUUUCUUAAUCACCAUAUGUUGGUCGCUCAGAAAGGAGAAAACAUCCAGUUUUGUAUGCAAAAAAGGCGGCAGGAGACAACAGUCGAUGUUCUGCUCUUGGCCUGUUAAAACCUCAGGAAGUCCUCAAGCCCUCUGCUCAGCUCAUAAACCAGAUCAGACUGUUGCAGCAUCCUGGGCUUUGCACGAUGAUCAGUAGGUGGCGCUGCGUCCUGAGCUGCGGAGCAGAGCAGCGAGGGCGCGAUUCGCCGCUAGAUGGCGCCUUGUAACCGCCCUGUAUGGUCGCUGCCAGUCUUAGCCUCACUGCAUCCUUCCUUGGCCACAGGGUCUUGAUUCUGCAUCGUUGGCCACUGGGACCUCUGAUCUGCAUCCUUAGCCACAGUCCCUUAUCCCUGAAGCCCUCCCCGCGCUCUUCCUUCCAGGCUCCGGCUUCAUCUCCAAACACCGAGUCAAAGUCAAGUCUAGCUGAAAAUACACCAUCUGCUUGUGAAAAAUCUCGCUGGCGCUGUCACGUCAGCAUCCGACGCAGGUUAAUAACCGGCCUCAGAGCAGAUGGCUGCUUUUUAUAAUUACCGGGUCCCUGCCUAGGCUUGCUCCCCUCUGCUUCCUCCCCAGCAGGAGCAGGUGGGUGUCACACCACCGCGCGUGCCUUACCACCUGCUGCCACCAGCUACUGGUGGUGACACAGACCUGCAGAAGGCUCCUUCUCCCCAGGGAGGCCUGGACCCAGAUUAAACAGAUAGUCAGUUUACCAGAGAAGACGCAACACGCAUGCUGCAUGCCAAACCUUGGAGGGUAAAUUAAUGAGAGAUGUUGAUUGGAUGACUCAUACUUUUAAAUUCAUCUUUUCGCUCUGGAGGAGUCGUAAUCCAAAGAUAUAUCAAAUUCCAAAUUACAGAGACGGUAACUCAAAGCGUGUUCACCGCAGCACUUUGCCUUGCCUGAAAGGCCACCUCACCUCAUCCCCAAGCCCAUGAGGGUGCACCCCAAAUGCCAUGAUAUAAAUUUUAGGAUACUGUGUAACCAUUGCCAGUGUUUCCAAGGCUCAAUGAUUAAGAGCAUUGGCUGUUCUUCUAGCAGACCCAGGUUCGAUUCCAGAUUUGAUUUCCAGCCCCCACAUGGUGGUUCACAACUGUCUGUAACUCCAGUUCCAGGGAAUCUGACCCCUCCUCUGGUAUAUGUCAGGCAUGCCUGCCGUGCAGGCAAAACACCCAUACACGUGCAAAUCAAUAUGUACAUUUUAAAAGGAAUAUGAAAUUGGUGGCACAUGCUGAUGAGUCAGAGGGGCUACACUCUUCUGGAUUUUUCGAAGUUUUCAGCAAAAGCCACUGAUAAAUAAAAGGAAAUGAGUGUUUUUUUAAGGACUGUUUAAAAAAAAAAAAAACAGAGUUAAAGGUGGGCAUGGUGGCACAUGCCUGUGAUCUGAGAUUUUAGGUGCCUGAGGCAGGAGGAUCACGAGUUUGAGGUGAGCCUCUAACAACACAAUGAGAGCCCUGUCUCAAAAAUAACCUCAACCUGGACGAAAUCAAACCAACCAAUCCAAGGCAAACCCACCAGAGCUCAGCGCAGGUGAAACUGGUAACGGUGGUUCAUCAGAGUCAGUCCGGGCAGCUGUCUUCUCCAGUUUGCAUCCUCCGGCUUCCUUUAGGUUUUGUACUGGGCAGCUACUAUCUAUCAAAAAUUAAGUUUAAUGAAAACCUCCUGGUCCCCUGAACCUGGCACAGAGUGUGACCACAUGCAGGGGCGUGGAGGGUGAGUUCGACUGCUUAACAAAGGAAUCCUGUUACAACCCUGACUUUUCUAAAUGCUGAGUAUAAGCGACUGCAGAAUUUGACAUACUGUUCAAAACGGGGGACACACUUCUACUCAAAGCAGGUGGGAGACCGAGGCAGGAGGAUGGCGUUAAGUUCGACAGCCUGGAUCACAUAGUAUUACAGUGAGACCCUGACUCAAACUAACAAAACAAUACAAUACAAGCAUCCCCUAAUGUGAAGCCCUGAACUAAAACUCUUAGUUGCAGUCUUAUUGCCAUGUAUGCAUCAAUCAGUAUCUUCAUCUUUUUUUUAAACUAUAGCAACUGGGGUAGGUCUUGACUUUAGACUUUUAGCUCAAGGGCCCAUGGGGGUCACUUAGUGUUUAGCACGAAGAACAGAAAGUGUCAAUGGAACCAGGAAAGACAGUCUCUAAAGACAUCGCUCGGUUCCAGCCCUGCCCUAUCGCCACCCACUGACACCCACUGACACCUUCCGGGCUUCACCUAGGCUACCCAGCUGAGGCCCACCUAGGAGUACUCUGAGUCAAAGGCUCCACCCCCUCCAUCCCCAUCCCAUGGGGGUAAAGUCCACAAGGAGGCUUCCUUUACACAUGGAGAUAUCAGUCCUGCCAAGAUGCUUGCCCUCAGUCCAGCCCCCUCCCUCUGACUGCAGAAAGUCUGGGCUGCAGCCAUGCACAGAACCCAGGUCCCAGCACUACCUACCGAGACUUGGGCAUUGAGGGCUUGAGGAGUCAACAGAGCCUAUGCUGGCCUGAGGCAGCCAUCCAGAGCUGGGCCAGGAAACUUUUACCCAGCCUUCAAAGCCACCAGUCAAGGACUCUUCCUUUUUAUGGUAAGGCUUCACCUCAGAAGCGGUUUCCACAAAAUACAUGGAAAAUGACUUUUCAGGGCAAAGUAAUUUAUUAGUAAUUUAAUGACAGCCAGGUUGUAGUUUUGAAAGAGAAUACCACAUCAGGAGAGAUCUUGGGAUAAAAAUAUUGCUUGUCCAUGGUUGGGAUCCCCCACAUCAGAAAGAGCAUACAUUUUACUAAAAAUAUUUCAUGUGCAAAACAUGACUCAACCUGUUUGAGGGCUCUGGCUUCUGUGGUUAGUAG